RNAcentral lists this long non-coding RNA (2212 nucleotides) under Homo sapiens (human). RNAcentral describes it as "HSALNT0312182". The record is from RNAcentral. Lineage: Eukaryota; Metazoa; Chordata; Mammalia; Primates; Hominidae.
ACUGCUGAAUAGCUAAAGGGCUCAGACAGGCAAGAAUAUUGUGAGGUGGUUAAGUCCAUGAACUUGGAGUUAGACCCCUUGGGGUCUAGGCUUGAUUUGUGACUUUUUAGCUGUGUGAUCUCCAGCAUGUUUUUAAACUUGUGUUUUUGGGAUGUUUGGAUUAGAUAGUACAUGGAAAGUGCUUGUGUUUAGGCUAAGAAUCUGGUUAUUUUUGCAUUUUUUGGCGGUGAUUGAGGAAGGGGGGAGCAAUUCGAGGGUGAUUUAUCCACAGAAUAUGAAGUCUGAGGUUUCUGCUCUGACAAGAGGAAAUGUCUAACAGCAGAAGACAAAAGUGAAACCGGGCUGAUGCGAAUCACUGGGAAACUGGCUUUGGCACCUCCAGAGAAUGAACUGUUUCAUAGCCUAGCUGACCAUCCAUGAAAAUGGCUGCCUGGAGAGGCAGUGAUCAGCCCAUCCCUGCAGGGUGAAGAUAAGCUUGUGCAGGCCACUGGCUAACACAGUUCAUCCCAUGCCUCCUACAUACCAAGCACUGUGCCAGGCACUUUUCACGUCUGGCAUCCUCAGAAUCCUCCAAAAGGUCGGAUUCAGACAAUCCGGUGGAGCACUCUGAAAUUUAGAGGAAGUGGUCAAAUAGAAUUUUCUGGAAUUAUGGAAAUCUUCUAUUCUGUGCAUCUAGUAUAGUAGAAUCUAGUCACAUGUGGCUUUUGAGAACUGGAAAUAUGGCUAAUGCAACAGAGAAAGUGAAUUUUUACUUUUGAUUCAUUUAAAUAUAAAUGGUCACAUAUGACAUCACUGCCAUAUUGGACAUUGCAGUUCUGGAAGAUGGCAGAUGCAGCCCUCAGAAGAAUUAUCAGCCUGAAUGUCUGGGCGGAGCAGAGCACUACCUUCCCACUCACUCUUCCCCUCCUCUCGCCCCCUCCCCUGCCUCACUUGCAUCAGAUUAUGAUGUGAGCAAAAGCAGGAAACAGCUCUUUUGAUAGGCCUGUGAGACUUGCUGUUCGUUGGAGUAGCUAGGCUGCUCUGACUCAUACAGACCCAAAUCCUGGCAACCACUUUUAUGAAGAAAUGACAAUUCAGUCUACUACUUGUCCAUUUUACAUGCCCAAGGAAUGUGAGGGGCCUCUGCUUGGAUCUAGUUUUCAACCUAGUCUAUGGCAUUGAUUAUCCUUUUAAAAGACAAAAGAGGUGACUUCACGGGCACUUAACAUCUUGGCCAUACUGACCCCAGUUGCACGCUACGUAGGAAGUUUUAGUCCAUUUAAACUGAAGUUCCAAUUUUUUUUUUAACAACUAUUUAAAAAUUGUACAUGUCCCAUACAUGACAGAGAAAGGGUUGUCUGGUUGGAUGAUUUUUGGCUUGCAAAAAGAGAACACAAAAGAAAAGCAUACGUUUUAAUACUCAAGAGACCAAAUUUUCUGCUGAAGAGGAAAUGAACUACAUAUCCAGAAGGGUCCUACCAAGAGGCCAAACAGACUGUGUUCUCUUGGGGGAGUUCUCAGUGGUGAUGAGAACACCACUUUUUUUUUUUUUUUAGUCAUUUUCAAGGUGAGAUAUUGACUUGCUGCUGGAGCAGGACAACUGGUCUCUCUUUCAUUGCUAGCAGCAGAGUAAGGGUCUUGCAAGUUUCAGGCAGCAGCAGAGAAAGGGUCUUGCAAGUUUCAGUCCAAAGCAAGAAGAGCUAGGAUUGCACCAGCUGUCUCACCUACUCUGUGCUCACCUGUUUCUGGAUGAAGCACGGUGACAUCUGUUUUAUUGUAAAGAGAACCAACUUUGGAAUCAAAUGGAACCUGUAUUAAAAUCCUGAAUCCGUCACUAGCUUGGACAAGUCACUUCACUUCUCUGAACCUUGUUUUAUUCCAGUUAAGAAUAAUAGUAAGCCAGUCCCACAGAGCUGUAGCAAGGUUAAAAUGAAUGGUUGUCUGUAGAAGCAUUUAAAAUAGGGCUUCAUACAGAGCCAGUACCUGGGGAGACUGAGGGUUUGAACCACAUAGUUCCACUCUGGCAAAUCACAGAGGGGCUGUAGGAUGGUCCUUUAAGGGGGAUGUGUUAUGGGUUAAUUGGAACAGUGCUUCUUAAACUCCAGUGUGCAUUCAUAUUGCUUAGGGGUUUUGUUUAAAUGCAGAUUCUGAGUUACUAGGAUUAUGCAAUUUGAAUGAGCUUGCAGAUAAUUUCAUGGCUGCUGGUCUCUGACAUCACCUUUGAGAAGCAAAG